ACGCACGCUGGCGGCGUGCUUAACACCUGCAAGUCGAACGGAAAGGCCCUGCUUUUGUGGGGUGCUCGAGUGGCGAACGGGUGAGUAACACGUGAGUAACCUGCCCUUGACUUUGGGAUAACUUCAGGAAACUGGGGCUAAUACCGGAUAGGAGCUCCUGCUGCAUGGUGGGGGUUGGAAAGUUUCGGCGGUUGGGGAUGGACUCGCGGCUUAUCAGCUUGUUGGUGGGGUAGUGGCUUACCAAGGCUUUGACGGGUAGCCGGCCUGAGAGGGUGACCGGCGACGUUGGGACUAAGAUACGGCCGAGACUACUAUGGGAGGCAGCAGUGGGGAAUAUUGCACAGUGGGCGGAGGCCUGAUGCAGCAACGCCGCGGGCGGGAUGACGGCCUUGGGGUUGUAAACCGCUUUCGCCUGUGACGAAGCGUGAGUGACGGUAAUGGGUAAAGAAGCACCGGCUAACUACGUG
This 467-nucleotide ribosomal RNA is filed under the name uncultured bacterium. RNAcentral describes it as "partial 16S ribosomal RNA". It matches the Rfam family "Bacterial small subunit ribosomal RNA", at positions 29 to 507 of the family's 1533-position model. The record is from RNAcentral.